UCUAAACUCCACUUAGGUCUUUGUUGACAUCCUUUUUAACCUUCAUGUUGAUAUUCCAAAUUUAUAAUCUCUUAAUUUCAUUUUUUAAUUGCAUUCAAAAUUUGAAAAAUAUUUGGAAGUUAAGAUAGCUACUAUUGAGUAAAAUUAUACAUCAAUCAAACUAGCUUAUUGAUAAAUAUCUUAAAAAACCUCAUUAGUCCUCUAUACCCCAAUUUUUGAGACCACAAAAACUCUCAUACUCUUUAAUCUAAUAGCUCAAUUGACUUCAUAUCUCUUAAAUACAUUUUUACCAAGCACAAUGAUAAAUUGCCAAAUUUUUAUUUGUAAAAAUACUACAAAGCUUACAAAAUCCUAAAAUUUUUAAACUUA
Molecule: long non-coding RNA, 369 nt
Filed under: Physcomitrium patens
Lineage: Eukaryota; Viridiplantae; Streptophyta; Bryopsida; Funariales; Funariaceae
Description: long non-coding RNA (PPAT_LNC012322)
Source: RNAcentral